CCUACGGGAGGCUGCAGUGGGGAAUAUUGGACAAUGGGGGGAACCCUGAUCCAGCCAUGCCGCGUGUGUGAAGAAGGCCCUCGGGUUGUAAAGCACUUUCAGUGAGGAAGAACGCCUGGUGGUUAAUACCCAUCAGGAAAGACAUCACUCACAGAAGAAGCACCGGCUAACUCCGUGCCAGCAGCCGCGGUAAUACGGAGGGUGCGAGCGUUAAUCGGAAUUACUGGGCGUAAAGCGCGCGUAGGUGGCUUGAUAAGCCGGUUGUGAAAGCCCCGGGCUCAACCUGGGAACGGCAUCCGGAACUGUCAAGCUAGAGUGCAGGAGAGGAAGGUAGAAUUCCCGGUGUAGCGGUGAAAUGCGUAGAGAUCGGGAGGAAUACCAGUGACGAAGGCGGCCUUCUGGACUGACACUGACACUGAGGUGCGAAAGCGUGGGUAGCAAACAGGAUUAGAUACCCUUGUAGUC
Molecule: ribosomal RNA, 465 nt
Filed under: Vreelandella stevensii
Lineage: Bacteria; Pseudomonadati; Pseudomonadota; Gammaproteobacteria; Oceanospirillales; Halomonadaceae
Description: partial 16S ribosomal RNA
Rfam family: Bacterial small subunit ribosomal RNA
Source: RNAcentral